UUUUAUAAUACAAAAAUCGCAUACUAAUACAAAAAUAGCUUUUAUAAUGCUCAAAGUUCUUUCAAAUAUUUCUUUAGAGCCCAAUUCUGUUAGUGAACUGUUACAAAUAGUUAUUAUCUCAUCUCUGUAAAAUUACUAUUUUGCAUUUUCAAAUAUACUCUUCUAACAUCACUAAUUUUUCUUAUUUGCUUUCAAGUUAGAGGCAAAAUAAGUAUUUUGACUUUUGGCCCUUCUAAUUAUACUCUUCUACCAUCACCAAUUUUUUUUUAUUUACGCUCAAGUUAAAGACAAAAGAAGUAUUUUAACUUCUUUUUAGCUCUGAUAGAAACUUAAUUAAUCCGGAUUUAACCCAAAAUAACUUAACGGGUACUAACAGCAGGGUUAUUUUUAGAUAGCGGAGAAAUAUAUUAGUGGUAUAUUUGAAACAAAAAAUAUAUAAGAUAUUUCAGAAAUUUUGGAAAGUAUAUAAGAUAUUAUCUCUAUUAAAAAUGAAGGCUUUUUAAAAU
This 506-nucleotide long non-coding RNA is filed under the name Ananas comosus (pineapple). Its description in RNAcentral is "long non-coding RNA (ACOM_LNC013229)". The record is from RNAcentral. Lineage: Eukaryota; Viridiplantae; Streptophyta; Magnoliopsida; Poales; Bromeliaceae.